CUCCUGUGCAAUCACAAAGGCCUUGUUUCCUUAGAAACCAAGCUAAAAUCUACUGGCAAUAUUUCAGCCUGCUUGCCAGUAUCAGUAAGGAGCUCAGGGAGCACUUGAGUCCUGCAAAAUGAAAUUCUAUUUUGCUUUCUAAGGAGUUCUGUGCUUGAAAUUAGAUUUGGAAAGAGCUGGUUCUUGCACAGCUUGAAGCUUGCACCGUUCCACAUACGUGGGUCGCAGGGCUGGCAUUCCCGGUCAUUCGCCUUUCAUUCUCAAAAUUCAUGUGCAUGUGCAGACUGAGCGUUGCAAACAGGAAGAACAAAAAGAACAUUCAAGUUCACAUUGAAGUUCAGCAUGUACAUCUUUCCUGUCAUACCAGUGGAGAUUUAGAGAUGUGGAGUGCACACAUCAGAUUGGGAAAAAAAAAAAAUCAUUAAAGAACAAAGUGCCAUAAGGAGAGCCAGAUUCCUGGGGAACAAUGGCAGUGUGGAGACAAAGCAUUUAUAAGCAAAACUGAAAUGGAGUUCAUUUGCAGCCUGACGGAAAGUGAUGUAGUGAAUGAACUGACAAUAUCCACCUGCUCCAGAUGUGGAGAGGCAGAGGACGACUGAUGCUGGGACACCCAGUUGCCUUCUGAGGUACCUGGCACAAGCGGGAUGGCUCAUACCCAGACUGCAUUCUGUAGAUAGAAGGAUAAAUGGAGAAACAGAUUCAUGUGAGUCUGUAGUGUCUGAAUACAGUGUCUGUAGUGUCAAAGCAGUUCCCAGUUAGCCUUGUUGCCAUAUUGCAGAGUUGCUUUUUCAGAGUUUUUGCCCCUUGGUUGCUAAUAAGCUGUAUUUGAAAUGGUGCUCUUACUAUUCACCUCCUCAACCACCUCUAGUGCCUCAGGAUGCUCGUCUUAAUAUUGCUGAAGCCUCCCGAGGUGAACAUUUUUGCUUUUCCCUUCUCUUAAGGCUGAGAUUUUCAUUGGAGUUUUAGGAAAGGAUUUAACCCACAUUUAUCUAAUGCCGAUAUCAUUUGGACUAAUAACUGUUUUAUGCAAAAUGAAAAAUCUUGGCAUAAACAAACUGGGAAGAGUUUCUCUUUAGGAUAUGAGUGGUCUGGUUACAGGUUUUUCUUCUUUCUCUGUCUUUUUUUUCUUUUUUAAUGCAUUUUCAUUGGUACCCAUGUAGUGUGAAGAGUCCUUGCUGAAGUUUUGGGUUUUAGUGUGUCACUGUGCAAUACUGUAUUGAAUGUGAGAAGUGCUGUCCCUGGUUCAGAGAGCUUUGCACUUAGUUAACUCUUAACGGAACAAAGCCAAAUGCUUUUGGUAAAUAUACUGUCUCUAAGUGAUCUUGAAAUCAGUCACAACCAUACAAUAAUUAUAACCAAAUCUGCUGAAUAGAUAAACAGUUAUUUCCUCCUCUCAUUCCUCCCUGCCUAAUAUUCCUCAAGUAAAGGCUGAUGUGGAAGGGCCUGUAUUAACCAAGCUGUGUUCCAUUCAUUCACUCAUGCUGAUGGAGAGACAUACUCUAUCCCUGCCUCUGUCUCACUGGCUUGAAACUAUAUUUCAACCUGAGAUUUUGUGAAGUAAAUCUCUUUUAUACCCUCCUACUGGAGCUGCUCCACUUUCCUUAUAACAUAUUUAAAUCCUUCUCCUGCUGGAUUUAUAAGGAGAUUGGCUACAUGCAUUGCAUGUGUAGUACAGAGCAGAGCAACGCGAAGACUGACCUCAAAUUGCAUAAGAAAGUUCUGUGGCAGAGGACGUAGACCUAAAAUGGGAAAGCCCAAGUAUUCCAGUCUCCAGAGAUGGCAAAUGCUGCCCCUCUGUGCUUUGUGUGUCUUAGCACUGUGCUACUGAAUAAAGCAAUGUCUG
Molecule: long non-coding RNA, 1843 nt
Organism: Coturnix japonica (Japanese quail)
Lineage: Eukaryota; Metazoa; Chordata; Aves; Galliformes; Phasianidae
Source: Ensembl